Podarcis lilfordi (Lilford's wall lizard) is the source of this 71-nucleotide non-coding RNA. NCBI's taxonomy places the organism in Eukaryota, Metazoa, Chordata, Lepidosauria, Squamata, Lacertidae. The record is from the annotation of a GenBank genome assembly.
GCUCAUGGCUCAGAUGACAGAGCAUGAGACUCUUAAUCACAGGGUUAUGGGUUCGAGUCCCAUGUUAGGCA